Long non-coding RNA from Dermacentor andersoni, 1004 nucleotides. RefSeq lists it as uncharacterized. The record is from RefSeq and is a predicted model, not a curated record. NCBI's taxonomy places the organism in Eukaryota, Metazoa, Arthropoda, Arachnida, Ixodida, Ixodidae.
AUACCACUUCUAGCGCGGGGAGAUGCAGAUCAGCCAGCGCUCGCGCACUAUGUUUUCAUUAUGGGCUAAUAUUUCCAAUGUACUAGACGCGAUGAAUGCGACAGCAUGGCGCUCCAAACUCAGGCUGUGAGUGCCUCGCUGGACCACGACGCCACUGCCUGUGACAGGAACCUGCUGCCAACAUCGUGUCGUCGUGCAAGCCUGGUGUGACAAAAUCGCUUUACUUACAAGUGUAGUUCUUUAUAUGAAGAAAGACAGCGAGAGUCUUCGCUUGAACCUGGCCAGGAACUCAGAGCUAUUUCCCAAAUACGCGCUGCAACAAGGUGACGGAAACGAAUGGCCUCCGCCUUUGGAGCCUUCACCGACGUCCUUUUGGUCACACGUCGCAAGUCAACCUGUCCUCUCCACCGGCGUCGCCUCGCUACGGUGAACAACAGCCCAGCAACAAAGUGGCCCCGGUUCCUGUGCGUGAACCAUCGCGGGAAGAAAAUACACGUCCGAGGCCUAUAGCCAAUUCAGUUCCGGCCCAAGAAGAUGGCUAAGCCGUCCCCGGGGGCAACUACUUCCAGAACGCUGAACAGGAUUUCGCGGUGGCUAUAGGAUCCACCCCACGGCACGAAAUCAGCAAUGUUCUCUAAAACUUCGUAGCCAUGUAUGACAGAGUGAGGAUAUCAGGACGGCGUCACAAGUGUAAUACACCUUACUGUAAAAAUAAAAAAGUAAUGAGCAGAGUGGUUCUUCUAUCUACAUGUUUCUUCUCCUGUCUUGCCCCACACAGGCCGGAACGAAGAAUGAGGAAAUAGAGGCAAAUGGGCCGUCCAUACGCGACCGCAUGGUCACUCAUAAAAAAAAUUACACAGUAUUAUAAACUAUCCAGCCUUUACUACGCCACUGAGCACAAUUCGCUAACCAAACAGCAGGAACUCCUUUGGAGGAAAGUCUAGACGGACUCCUCCCCACAACAUUUAGUUCUGUAUUUCUACAUUAAUCUAACCAAAUUUAUU